This is a long non-coding RNA of Mercurialis annua (annual mercury), 660 nucleotides long. RefSeq lists it as uncharacterized. Lineage: Eukaryota; Viridiplantae; Streptophyta; Magnoliopsida; Malpighiales; Euphorbiaceae. The record is from RefSeq and is a predicted model, not a curated record. The transcript is spliced from 3 exons.
AGCUACUAAAUUCGUUCAUCUUCUCCAAGUUGAUCAAGGCAUGCAAAAUUUUUCAAACCAUCAUAAUUUCUUCGUCUCUCAACCGAUUCUAGUGAUUUUUGCGGCAAAGAAACGAGAAAAUGACCCUCUACUGAUUUAUGGCUUCAAUUUGAGGUAAGAAACUCAAGUUGAAGUUAGGGUUUAUGAGCUUUAAUGGCUGUUUUGGUGUUCUUGAAUGAUGAUGAUGAUUUUGAUGCCAAAAUCUUUAAGACCUUCUAAAUUCUUCGUUUGAUAUCGGAAUUGUGUGAUUCUUGCGGCAACAGAAAGAGAAAAUUUGAUCUAACCUAAUAUCUCAAGACGUAUUGACGGAGCUCGAGAUUGACGAUAUCGGUUAAGCGGGAUUCGGCCAAUGCAUUAAUAUUGUGAUUAUUGGAUAGUAUGUUGUACCUCGGUUAGCAUCUGCAGUAGUUGGUUGUCAGUCGUUGCCGUUACAACAUAGAGUCAUAUGGUUUUGUUUAUACUUGUUGUUAUGUUUAUAGUUUUUGCUGGUUGCGUCGGAUAUAGUUUUGUGUCACAGGGCUAGUUAGCCAUCAUGUGACGUAAAUAUACUAGUUAUGAUUAUAUAUAGUCGGGCUAGUACAUACGUGGUACGGAAGUGAAAUGCCCUCAUGUUUUGUAUCG